Molecule: long non-coding RNA, 215 nt
Organism: Poecile atricapillus (Black-capped chickadee)
Lineage: Eukaryota; Metazoa; Chordata; Aves; Passeriformes; Paridae
Exons: 3
Source: RefSeq, a predicted model, not a curated record
GGGAAGGUCAGUGAAUCUCCUGUGAGACUUUUGUGGGCUUCUCUCACUGUUCCUGCAUCUUCAGCCACAGUAGCAUUUUUCUUGAAAAUCAGAGAGAUGGCAGGAGCUAAUCUGGUGGUCAGGAUUUCCACCUCUGCUGAAAGUGGCUAAAACACCAGAAACCACAGGCUGCGGAAGUAGUUGGGAGCAGGAAUCACUCUGCUUGCAAAAAGGCC